AUUGAACGCUGGCGGCAUGCUUUACACAUGCAAGUCGAACGGUAACAGGCCGCAAGGUGCUGACGAGUGGCGAACGGGUGAGUAAUGCAUCGGAACGUGCCCAGUCGUGGGGGAUAACUACUCGAAAGAGUAGCUAAUACCGCAUACGAUCUAUGGAUGAAAGCGGGGGACCGUAAGGCCUCGCGCGAUUGGAGCGGCCGAUGUCAGAUUAGGUAGUUGGUGGGGUAAAGGCUCACCAAGCCAACGAUCUGUAGCUGGUCUGAGAGGACGACCAGUCACACUGGGACUGAGACACGGCCCAGACUCCUACGGGAGGCAGCAGUGGGGAAUUUUGGACAAUGGGCGCAAGCCUGAUCCAGCAAUGCCGCGUGCAGGAAGAAGGCCUUCGGGUUGUAAACUACUUUUGUACGGAACGAAACGGCUCUGGUUAAUACCCGGGGCUAAUGACGGUACCGUAAGAAUAAGCACCGGCUAACUACGUG
Molecule: ribosomal RNA, 482 nt
Filed under: uncultured bacterium
Lineage: Bacteria
Description: partial 16S ribosomal RNA
Rfam family: Bacterial small subunit ribosomal RNA
Source: RNAcentral